This is a non-coding RNA of Collybia nuda, 82 nucleotides long. The record is from the annotation of a GenBank genome assembly. NCBI's taxonomy places the organism in Eukaryota, Fungi, Basidiomycota, Agaricomycetes, Agaricales, Clitocybaceae.
GCAUUAAUGGGGUAGUGGUAACCUGGGUCGUUGCCACUUAGCGCGGUUCGACCCGCCGGGGGUUCGAUUCCCUCUUAAUGCA